GCAACUGUGGCUCAGUUGGUAGAGCAUGGUGUUUGCAAUGCCAGCAUGGUGUGUGCAACGCCAGGGUUGUGGGUUCGAUUCCCACGGGGGGCC
Salmo salar (Atlantic salmon) is the source of this 93-nucleotide non-coding RNA. NCBI's taxonomy places the organism in Eukaryota, Metazoa, Chordata, Actinopteri, Salmoniformes, Salmonidae. The record is from Rfam.